GCUGGUUCUUGGGUGACACAUCCUGGAACCGGGCUCCCUCCACUCGGGUUCUGGGGUAUGUCACCCAAAGCUAUA
Myotis davidii is the source of this 75-nucleotide non-coding RNA. The record is from Rfam. Lineage: Eukaryota; Metazoa; Chordata; Mammalia; Chiroptera; Vespertilionidae.